Long non-coding RNA from Diceros bicornis minor, 541 nucleotides. RefSeq lists it as uncharacterized. Lineage: Eukaryota; Metazoa; Chordata; Mammalia; Perissodactyla; Rhinocerotidae. The transcript has 3 exons. The record is from RefSeq and is a predicted model, not a curated record.
GCUGCUGGGGCAGAUCGACUCUGGGCAUGCAAGUCCUCUGAACUCCCGGCUGGCACUGGCAGCCCACCCCUUUGGCCUCACCUAAUGAACCGGCUAUAAAUACAAGCCGUGAACGCUCCAGAAGGACCUUGGGUACCAGGUGGCCACUACUCUCUGUUCUUUAAAUGCCAGUGGAAGACAUACCUGGGAGCCACCUACAUCUUUCUCCUGUGUGGAGAACAUCAUAUCCUUCUGAGAUGAACCCCAUCUCCGUGCAGACAUGAAGCCCAGAGGCUGGAACAUGCUUCAUUCUUAGUUCUCCAGACUCCACAAGGCCAGCUAAACAGAACCAAAGGAGAAGGUGAUGUGCCUGAUGCAGGUGUGAAAGCUGUGGAUCUCCUGGUGACUUCAGCCCCUUUGUGUGUCUGGAACCAGCUGGAAGCUGGGGGCAGGUGGUUCUACUCAUCCUCCAGGCUUUAUGUGAAGAUGUGCGAAUGUUUUCUCCUGCUGAACUAUCUUGUCUCCCUUGGUGUCCAGAGGCAGACCAUGGCUAUGUAAUCUG